Molecule: ribosomal RNA, 450 nt
Filed under: uncultured bacterium
Lineage: Bacteria
Description: SSU rRNA
Rfam family: Bacterial small subunit ribosomal RNA
Source: RNAcentral
AGAACGAACGCUGGCGGCGCGCUUAACACAUGCAAGUCGAACGCACCACUUUCGGGUGGUGAGUGGCGCACGGGUGAGUAACGCGUGGGAACCUACCUCGGGGUUCGGGACAACGGCGGGAAACUGCCGCUAACACCGGAUACGUCCGUAAGGAGAAAGAUUUAUCGCUGAGGGAUCGGCCCGCGUCUGAUUAGCUAGUUGGUGAGGUAACGGCUCACCAAGGCGACGAUCAGUAGCUGGUCUGAGAGGAUGAUCAGCCUCACUGGGACUGAGACACGGCCCAGACUCCUACGGGAGGCAGCAGUGGGGAAUAUUGGACAAUGGGCGCAAGCCUGAUCCAGCCAUGCCGCGUGGGUGAUGAAGGCCCUAGGGUUGUAAAGCCCUUUCGGCGGGGAAGAUAAUGACGGUACCCGCAGAAGAAGCCCCGGCUAACUUCGCGCCAGCAGCCGC